RNAcentral lists this ribosomal RNA (367 nucleotides) under uncultured bacterium. Its description in RNAcentral is "bacterial SSU rRNA". It matches the Rfam family "Bacterial small subunit ribosomal RNA", at positions 71 to 422 of the family's 1533-position model. The record is from RNAcentral.
AAGGUUCCUUCGGGGACCCGGUAGAGUGGCGGACGGGUGAGUAACACGUGGGUAAUCUGCCUUUGGGUGGGGAAUAACCCUUCGAAAGAGGGGCUAAUACCGCAUAACGCAGCGGCACCGAAUGGUGACAGUUGUUAAAGUGGGGGAUCGCAAGACCUCACGCCUGAAGAGGAGCCCGCGCCCGAUUAGCUAGUUGGUGCGGUAAUGGCGUACCAAGGCGACGAUCGGUAGCCGGCCUGAGAGGGCGGACGGCCACACUGGCACUGAGAGACGGGCCAGACUCCUACGGGAGGCAGCAGUGGGGAAUUUUGGGCAAUGGGCGCAAGCCUGACCCAGCAACGCCGCGUGAAGGACGAAAUCCCUCUGG